This 73-nucleotide transfer RNA is filed under the name Bos taurus (domestic cattle). It matches the Rfam family "tRNA". Rfam says of the family: Transfer RNA (tRNA) molecules are approximately 80 nucleotides in length. Lineage: Eukaryota; Metazoa; Chordata; Mammalia; Artiodactyla; Bovidae. RNAcentral also lists the same sequence under 5 other names. The record is from Rfam by way of RNAcentral.
UCCCUGGUGGUCCAGUGGUUAAGGCUCCUUGCUUCCACUGCAGGAGGCACAGGUUCAAUUCCUGGUCUGGGAA